GGAUUAGAUACCCUGGUAGUCCACGCCGUAAACGAUGUCUACUAGCCGUUGGGGGACUUGAUCCUUUAGUGGCGCAGCUAACGCGAUAAGUAGACCGCCUGGGGAGUACGGCCGCAAGGUUAAAACUCAAAUGAAUUGACGGGGGCCCGCACAAGCGGUGGAGCAUGUGGUUUAAUUCGAUGCAACGCGAAGAACCUUACCAGGUCUUGACAUCCUCGGAACUUUCUAGAGAUAGAUUGGUGCCUUCGGGAACCGAGUGACAGGUGCUGCAUGGCUGUCGUCAGCUCGUGCCG
RNAcentral lists this ribosomal RNA (293 nucleotides) under uncultured bacterium. Its description in RNAcentral is "partial 16S ribosomal RNA". It matches the Rfam family "Bacterial small subunit ribosomal RNA", at positions 775 to 1067 of the family's 1533-position model. The record is from RNAcentral.